Helianthus annuus (common sunflower) is the source of this 825-nucleotide long non-coding RNA. RefSeq lists it as uncharacterized. The transcript has 2 exons. The record is from RefSeq and is a predicted model, not a curated record. NCBI's taxonomy places the organism in Eukaryota, Viridiplantae, Streptophyta, Magnoliopsida, Asterales, Asteraceae.
UUUAUUAAAGUAAAAUUUGUAAAUUCUUUUCAAAAUUAAAAAAAAAUCAAUAAUCAAAAUCACGUCUAAAAGAUAUACUUCCCUCCAAAACUAAAAUCUAAUUUCCAAAAUUCCCCCAAAAUGUUUUUCAAUUUCCCCCCAAAAUCCAAAUCACGGUUUGUUGGUUCACCCACGUUCCUCCUUUUCCUCAAAAAAACUCCUUUUCACCAAAAUUUGUUCAUAAGCCCCAUGAUUCCAAUUGAAAGUCUCACAACACCUUUCAGAGAAGACAAAUCAAGAAGGGAGCUCGAAGAAGAUGUUACAGAAGGAGUGAAGGUGGAAUCGAGCAGGGAGCUCGAGGAAGAUGUUACCGAUACACUGGCGAGAAUUUCAACCUCAAGAUCUCUACACGGUCUCGUUGUUUUAAUAUCUGCGCCACAACUGAUAUAUGGGAAACCCGCGCGUUGCGGCGAAGCAAGCAAUUGACAACGUUGUACUCGGAAAUGUUUUUCGUUUGUUCAUUAAUUGUUUUGGUUUUUGUUGGGUCUCCAAGAUAACCCGCGCUUCGCGACGGGCAAAAAAUGGUGGUCCAUAUGGGGGACCAUAUAUGAGUUAUCUGUUCCAUGUGCAUACGACAUUUCUUAUGAAAGAAGUCGAUGAAACCGUUGUGCCAAGCAUAGAUGUUCCCGUUUAAGUCUCUAGAAGAUCAAUUGCUACAUUAGUAUAAGGCAUUUUACUUUCUUAAUUUAUCCUUGUAGCAUAAUCCUAUAUACAUUUAUAAAUCAUGUGUUUAUGCGGUUGUAAGUGCUUUUUGUUGUGUAAUAACUAGAACCUAUUAGCAAUGUA